Balaenoptera musculus (blue whale) is the source of this 618-nucleotide long non-coding RNA. RefSeq lists it as uncharacterized. The record is from RefSeq and is a predicted model, not a curated record. The transcript has 3 exons. Lineage: Eukaryota; Metazoa; Chordata; Mammalia; Artiodactyla; Balaenopteridae.
GGGAACUGCCAGCGCCUUAGAGACCUGCCCGUCUGGCCCCCAGUUGCCUCCGAGCACGCAAGACCCGAGGGAGAGGCCCCCGAAGCAAAGUCCUGCUUUCCCAAGGUCUGCAGAUCUGCUCUGCUCUCCUGACGGCCAAAGGUUGCGGUCGUUGUUUUCACCAAUGGAAAUCAUCCCCCAGUGGGAGAGAGGAAGCCAUGGUGGAGAAGCAGAGAGACAGGAACACAACAGACACACGUGGAGAGAGGCUGGAAGGCAGCAGUGUCUCAGAGCGACAUAGUGGAGAUGGUCUCCAGAGCCUCAGGCCAGAGAGGGACAGUGGGCAGGGGGCCGAAGGUGGCGAUGGCCCUCAGCGUGGCUCAGGACAGCAGUGUGUACACCAGGGCAAUGCAGGGAAGCAGGCCUGGGACCCCUUGGGCAAUAAGCAGAAACUUAAAGAAGCAGACUGUCAGACCCCAUCUCCAAACUGCUGUGUGUCCCCAGGACCUCUGGAAGCUGUACAAAACCUAAACAUGUGGGCUUCCCUGGUGGCGCAGUGGUUGAGAUUCCGCCUGCCAAUGCAGGGGACACGGGUUCGAGCCCUGGUCUGGGAAGAUCCCACAUGCCGCGGAGCAACUA